This 727-nucleotide long non-coding RNA is filed under the name Cyanistes caeruleus (blue tit). RNAcentral's name for it is "lncRNA (ENSCCEG00000012204.1)". Lineage: Eukaryota; Metazoa; Chordata; Aves; Passeriformes; Paridae. The record is from RNAcentral.
AUGCUUUGUAUGUUCCAUUUUGGGGUGCACAGAAGAAAUUCCAAGUAUCUUAUGUUUCUGAAAGUGGAAAUCUCUCUGCUUCCUGCCUUCCAUCUUAUGGUGUCAGUUUGGGUGUGUUACAGAAGCUUAGCAAAGCAUUUAUGUAAGGCCCUCUUAGUGAGGGAUGCUCUCUGGAGUUUCAAAUAUUUUGUAAUUAAUUUUGUUCUUUUAUUCUGUCUUUUUCAGGAAAUAGGGAAUGCUUCCUCUUGUGAUUUGGGGUGCCCAUCAGAAAUAGUGGCACUGUUGACCUUAAAUCUCCCUUUUUUAGAAUCUGGAUACUUUUUUUAUCACAAUGGUCUUGCUAAAGCCAGGAGAAGACGCAGCCUUCAACACAAGCUUCAUCUGGAAAAGGACACCAGGACUUUUUGCACCAGCUUAAUACUGGGCUGAAGUUGGACCAGGUAGCACAAAAAAUGUAUUUACUGCCCAAAGAAGAUGUUGGUGGAUGGUUAUUGAAAUAUAGAGGUUUAUGAGUGUCAUUAUCUGAAAACACAAGAAGAAAAAAGCAGCAGAGGUUACAGCACAGUUUUUUAAAAAAAAAGUCAGACACAAAGUUUCUGGGAAGGUAGAAUUCAGCCUGCACUUGAGACAUGGAAAGACAAAGGGUCACACAGGCAGCAGGGCAGAGAUAAGUAAUUGCAGGAAAUAUGCCUAUGUUGUAUUACCUGUGUCAUUCCAAACAAGAAAU